This 464-nucleotide ribosomal RNA is filed under the name Bacillus sp. LMG 21004. RNAcentral's name for it is "bacterial SSU rRNA". It matches the Rfam family "Bacterial small subunit ribosomal RNA", at positions 28 to 475 of the family's 1533-position model. The record is from RNAcentral. Lineage: Bacteria; Bacillati; Bacillota; Bacilli; Caryophanales; Bacillaceae.
GACGAACGCUGGCGGCGUGCCUAAUACAUGCAAGUCGAGCGAAUGGAUGGGAGCUUGCUCCCUGAAGUUAGCGGCGGACGGGUGAGUAACACGUGGGCAACCUGCCUAUAAGACUGGGAUAACUUCGGGAAACCGGAGCUAAUACCGGAUACGUUCUUUUCUCGCAUGAGARAAGAUGGAAAGACGGUUUACGCUGUCACUUAUAGAUGGGCCCGCGGCGCAUUAGCUAGUUGGUGAGGUAAUGGCUCACCAAGGCGACGAUGCGUAGCCGACCUGAGAGGGUGAUCGGCCACACUGGGACUGAGACACGGCCCAGACUCCUACGGGAGGCAGCAGUAGGGAAUCUUCCGCAAUGGACGAAAGUCUGACGGAGCAACGCCGCGUGAACGAAGAAGGCCUUCGGGUCGUAAAGUUCUGUUGUUAGGGAAGAACAAGUACCAGAGUAACUGCUGGUACCUUGACGG